AAGGCAGUGAUGAUUU
Molecule: small RNA, 16 nt
Filed under: Arabidopsis thaliana (thale cress)
Lineage: Eukaryota; Viridiplantae; Streptophyta; Magnoliopsida; Brassicales; Brassicaceae
Description: ATSL308330
Source: RNAcentral